RNAcentral lists this ribosomal RNA (410 nucleotides) under uncultured bacterium. Its description in RNAcentral is "bacterial SSU rRNA". It matches the Rfam family "Bacterial small subunit ribosomal RNA", at positions 29 to 472 of the family's 1533-position model. The record is from RNAcentral.
AACGAACGCUGGCGGCAGGCUUAACACAUGCAAGUCGAGCGCCCCGCAAGGGGAGCGGCAGACGGGUGAGUAACGCGUGGGAACAUACCCUUUGGUUCGGAAUAACUCAGGGAAACUUGAGCUAAUACCGGAUACGUCCGUAAGGAGAAAGAUUUAUCGCCAAAGGAUUGGCCCGCGUCCGAUUAGCUAGUUGGUGAGGUAACGGCUCACCAAGGCUACGAUCGGUAGCUGGUCUGAGAGGAUGAUCAGCCACAUUGGGACUGAGACACGGCCCAAACUCCUACGGGAGGCAGCAGUGGGGAAUAUUGCGCAAUGGGCGAAAGCCUGACGCAGCGACGCCGCGUGGGUGAUGAAGGCCUGGUCGUAAGCCUGUCGCAGGGAGAAGUAAGACAUCGGUAUAAUACGCCGGU